UAGCUAGUUGGUGAGGUAAAGGCUUACCAAGGCGACGAUCUGUAGCGGGUCUGAGAGGAUGAUCCGCCACACUGGAACUGAGACACGGUCCAGACUCCUACGGGAGGCAGCAGUGGGGAAUUUUGGACAAUGGGGGCAACCCUGAUCCAGCCAUGCCGCGUGAGUGAAGAAGGCCUUCGGGUUGUAAAGCUCUUUCGGCCGGGAAGAAAUCGCAUGGGCCAAUACCCUGUGUGGAUGACGGUACCGGAAUAAGAAGCACCGGCUAACUACGUGCCAGCAGCCGCGGUAAUACGUAGGGUGCGAGCGUUAAUCGGAAUUACUGGGCGUAAAGCGUGCGCAGGCGGUUUUGUAAGACAGGCGUGAAAUCCCCGGGCUUAACCUGGGAACUGCGUUUGUGACUGCAAGGCUAGAGUACGGCAGAGGGGGGUGGAAUUCCACGUGUAGCAGUGAAAUGCGUAGAGAUGUGGAGGAACACCAAUGGCGAAGGCAGCCCCCUGGGUCGAUACUGACGCUCAUGCACGAAAGCGUGGGUAGCAAACAGGAUUAGAUACCCUGGUAGUCCACGCCCUAAACUAUGUCAACUAGGUGUUGGGUGGGUAAAACCAUUUAGUACCGUAGCUAACGCGUGAAGUUGACCGCCUGGGGGGUACGGCCGCAAGGUUAAAACUCAAAGGAAUUGACGGGGACCCGCACAAGCGGUGGAUGAUGUGGAUUAAUUCGAUGCAACGCGAAAAACCUUACCUACCCUUGACAUGCCAGGAACUUGCCAGAGAUGGCUUGGUGCCCGAAAGGGAGCCUGGACACAGGUGCUGCAUGGCUGUCGUCAGCUCGUGUCGUGAGAUGUUGGGUUAAGUCCCGCAACGAGCGCAACCCUUGUCGUUAAUUGCCAUCAUUUAGUUGGGCACUUUAACGAGACUGCCGGUGACAAACCGGAGGAAGGUGGGGAUGACGUCAAGUCCUCAUGGCCCUUAUGGGUAGGGCUUCACACGUCAUACAAUGGUCGGUACAAAGGGUUGCCAAGCCGCGAGGCGGAGCCAAUCCCAGAAAGCCGAUCGUAGUCCGGAUUGCAGGCUGCAACUCGCCUGCAUGAAGUCGGAAUCGCUAGUAAUCGUGGAUCAGCAUGUCACGGUGAAUACGUUCCCGGGUCUUGUACACACCGCCCGUCACACCAUGGGAGCGGGUUCCGCCAGAAGUAGGUAGCCUAACCGCAAGGGGGGCGCUUACCACGGCGGGGUUCGUGACUGGGGUGAAGUCGUAACAAGGUAGCCGUAGGGGAACCUGCGGCUG
This 1287-nucleotide ribosomal RNA is filed under the name metagenome. RNAcentral describes it as "bacterial SSU rRNA". It matches the Rfam family "Bacterial small subunit ribosomal RNA", at positions 242 to 1520 of the family's 1533-position model. The record is from RNAcentral.